This 303-nucleotide ribosomal RNA is filed under the name uncultured Gammaproteobacteria bacterium. RNAcentral's name for it is "LSU rRNA". It matches the Rfam family "Bacterial large subunit ribosomal RNA", at positions 1612 to 1898 of the family's 2925-position model. Lineage: Bacteria; Pseudomonadati; Pseudomonadota; Gammaproteobacteria. The record is from RNAcentral.
GAAAAGUUUCUAAGCUUCAGGUCACAAGAGACCGUACCCCAAACCGACACAGGUGGUCAGGUAGAGAAUACCAAGGCGCUUGAGAGAACUCGGGUGAAGGAACUAGGCAAAAUGGUACCGUAACUUCGGGAGAAGGUACGCCGCUUAUGGUGAUGGGRYUUGCCCCGUAAGCUGUGAGCGGUCGAAGAAACCAGGUGGCUGCAACUGUUUAUUAAAAACAUAGCACUGUGCCAACACGAAAGUGGACGUAUACGGUGUGACGCCUGCCCGGUGCCGGAAGGUUAAUUGAUGGGGUUAUCUUCG